UUUGUCAGGAAUUAUAUCAAGCUCAUACUUGCUCUCGAAGAACUUUGAGAACCCGAAGCUCUGUUGAGAGCGGUCAUCGGCCCCUCUGCCUCUGCCUCGCUCCCUUUCGAGCGCGCGAGGGGCAGUCUUAAUGUGCUUCGUCGGCGACAGCAGGGGAACAGCCAUUUGACGAACGCCGGAGCAGCAACAAACGCGAAAUAGUCAAAUCUAAGAGAGAAGAAAGAGAUUCAAUUUUUGAGUGCGUCCGGUAGAGAGGAAAGAGGUUUGCUCUUCGUUCUUCUUCUUCAGACAACGAAAGCACCAAGAGGAAAGAGAAUAUCAGACAAAGAAAUAAAUGUUUGCAGAGCAGGAGAGAGAGCGAGCGUAGGGGGCUAGUGUGUGCAGGCUAGUGAGAGAGAAAUGAAAUUUUUUUUGUGUAUAAAUUCGUUUGCUUGCGAGCCGGCCCCACACCUCCACGGGUCGCUUCCUGAGUGGUCGGAGACCACGCUGACCUGGUGGUCCGGGACCAC
This 509-nucleotide long non-coding RNA is filed under the name Eucalyptus grandis. RNAcentral's name for it is "long non-coding RNA (EGRA_LNC007662)". Lineage: Eukaryota; Viridiplantae; Streptophyta; Magnoliopsida; Myrtales; Myrtaceae. The record is from RNAcentral.